GCUUGUGGUAGUUUCUUUCUGGCACAUUUGUUAAGUUUUCAAAUGGGCCUGACUCUGCCACAGACAUAGUAAGGAGCUGGCAAAGGCUUAAAGACAGAAAGAUCUCUCUUAAGCUUUUUGUGCAUCAGAUACUGCUCUCACAAUC
This 145-nucleotide small nucleolar RNA is filed under the name Chinchilla lanigera (long-tailed chinchilla). RNAcentral describes it as "Small nucleolar RNA SNORA12 (ENSCLAG00000020603.1)". It matches the Rfam family "Small nucleolar RNA SNORA12". From Rfam's summary of the family: U108 belongs to the H/ACA family of snoRNAs. Lineage: Eukaryota; Metazoa; Chordata; Mammalia; Rodentia; Chinchillidae. The record is from Rfam by way of RNAcentral.